This 533-nucleotide ribosomal RNA is filed under the name uncultured archaeon. RNAcentral's name for it is "bacterial SSU rRNA". It matches the Rfam family "Archaeal small subunit ribosomal RNA", at positions 345 to 879 of the family's 1478-position model. The record is from RNAcentral.
AACCUUUGCAAUGUGCGCAAGCACGACAAGGUUAAUCCGAGUGUUUCCUGCUAAAGGAAUCUUUUGUUAGUCCUAAAAACACUAGCGAAUAAGGGGUGGGCAAGUUCUGGUGUCAGCCGCCGCGGUAAAACCAGCACCUCAAGUGGUCAGGAGGAUUAUUGGGCCUAAAGCAUCCGUAGCCUGCUCUGUAAGUUUCCGGUUAAAUCCAUUAGCUCAACUGAUGGGCCGCCGGAAAAACUGCAAAGCUAGGGAGUGGGAGAGGUAGACGGUACUCGGUAGGAAGGGGUAAAAUCCUUUGAUCUAUUGAUGACCACCUGUGGCGAAGGCGGUCUACCAGAACACGUCCGACGGUGAGGGAUGAAAGCUGGGGGAGCAAACCGGAUUAGAUACCCGGGUAGUCCCAGCUGUAAACGAUGCAGACUCGGUGAUGCCCUGGCUUGUGGCCAGUGCAGUGCCGCAGGGAAGCCGUUAAGUUUGCCGCCUGGGAAGUACGUACGCAAGUAUGAAACUUAAAGGAAUUGGCGGGGGAGCAC